Cyprinus carpio (common carp) is the source of this 855-nucleotide long non-coding RNA. NCBI's taxonomy places the organism in Eukaryota, Metazoa, Chordata, Actinopteri, Cypriniformes, Cyprinidae. The record is from Ensembl.
UUGUCAUAAGUCACGCAUUUAGUUGUGUGCAGUAUUAGAUUAGUAUUAGAUUAUCUCGAAAUCUUCCACUUUACAUAUAAAAAUAAUAAAUAAAUAAAAAGCUAACCUGUUGAGUACAAUAUGAUGAUGAAUUAAGCUAUAACAAAAAUUAAUAUUUUUAAGGGUCUCAUUGAUAUAAAGGUGCUAUUGUGAUGUUUUGUGUCCAUGUGGACAAGAGUGUCUGUGUGAAUGAAUGAAUGAAUGAAUGAGCUUACCUCUGGUGUGUUGGUGUGCAUAUUGAGAAACUCAAGCAGGAAUCUCCCUUUUAUAGCCGUGGAUGAUUGACUCAUUGCCCCAGUGAUUCACCCUGCGCCGGUCUAGUCUGGUUUGCCCUUACCGUCCUCCAUAGGCUUAAAGCCUGUUGGAAGACCCCUUCCACAUGUUCUAGUCCAAGACACCGGAGCUGCAGGAACUGUGACAUUUCAGCAUAGGUGUUGAGCAGUAGUUGAUAGUGAUCCGUGACCAGGAUUUAUACAGUGAACACACUCAGAAGAACUGGACAAACUGAGGAGGAGUUUCAAAAUCUGGAAAAGCAGUUGGAAAAUGAGGAGAUCCAGGCAACAAUGGUGUCAAAGUUGUGCAGAUUUGAAGGAAGAAACCUCAAAGUCAGUGCCAGAAGGAUGCUAGACAGGUUUUGAAGGUGGGUGGUCUGCUGCAGGAGGAGGCAUUUGAAAAGACUGGACUGUUCUCGGUUAUUAAAGAACCUCAUCCUUGCCUGCAUACAGUAAUCCUCCAGGGCUCUCCGUGCACAGCUGAACACUUGAUGUGUGAGUCAAGUCAACCCUGUGUAAUACACACUUUGCCCUGAGUAACACA